RNAcentral lists this transfer RNA (77 nucleotides) under Podarcis lilfordi (Lilford's wall lizard). Its description in RNAcentral is "tRNA.Ile". The stretch from base 8 to 66 matches the Rfam family "tRNA", at positions 8 to 63 of the family's 71-position model. From Rfam's summary of the family: Transfer RNA (tRNA) molecules are approximately 80 nucleotides in length. Their secondary structure includes four short double-helical elements and three loops (D, anti-codon, and T loops). Further hydrogen bonds mediate the characteristic L-shaped molecular structure. tRNAs have two regions of fundamental functional importance: the anti-codon, which is responsible for specific mRNA codon recognition, and the 3' end, to which the tRNAs corresponding amino acid is attached (by aminoacyl-tRNA synthetases). tRNAs cope with the degeneracy of the genetic code in two manners: having more than one tRNA (with a specific anti-codon) for a particular amino acid; and 'wobble' base-pairing, i.e. permitting non-standard base-pairing at the 3rd anti-codon position. The record is from RNAcentral. Lineage: Eukaryota; Metazoa; Chordata; Lepidosauria; Squamata; Lacertidae.
GUUAACCUGGCUCAGUUGGUUAGAGCAUGGUGCUGAUAAUGCCAAGGUUGCAGGUUUGAUCCCCGUAUGGGACAACU